RNAcentral lists this long non-coding RNA (593 nucleotides) under Heterocephalus glaber (naked mole-rat). RNAcentral describes it as "lncRNA (ENSHGLG00000032888.1)". Lineage: Eukaryota; Metazoa; Chordata; Mammalia; Rodentia; Bathyergidae. The record is from RNAcentral.
AAAUGGUUGUGGUUGGCUGAGAUCUGCAAAGGCAUUGAGGAAAGGCCCAGAAAAGUGGGCGUGACAUUCUAAUAGGAAGACAACCCAGGGAGAGAAAGGAGGUGUUUGAGGAGGAGGCAAAGCAGAGAAAAGCCACAGAGCUGUGAGACAGGGUGGUUGGGUGCUAGGAAAUGGAGGGCAGUGAAUGGACCACCAGCAACGAAUGUCACAAGUCCCAGCCUGUGAGAAGACACAUCUAAGAGGCCACUGAGGAGUAAAGAGCUGCCAUGAGGGGAAUGGGCUUCCUUGCCAUGUGCUUCUCCAUGAUGGACUGUGUUGCUGCUGGAUCAAGGACACUGGGGCUAUGUGACCAUGAACUGAAACCUCUGGAACCAAAAGGAGAGAAGGCUCAGUUUGUAAUGUUGAAGUUCAGUCCAAGGAUCUCAAGCUGAUCUGGGCUGUUUUUCUCCAGAACUUAAACAAAAGGCCCUGAGACAAUCUUGCACUGGCUCCUAUCUCUCAAGGUAAUCUUCAAAAAAAAAAAAAAAGUAAGUAGUAUGGAAGGCUGAUCUUUACUGGUAUGUGGCCAAUUCUUUAUUAUUAGGAGAUUCAAG